UACAUCACAUCCAUGGUCAAGAGCCACCCACCAAUGCAGGGGUUACAAGAACGCGCGCUGUGACCUCACUUUUUGUAUGGGUACUAGGGGUCCAUCCCAGCGUAUCUUGCUGUCAUAGCAACCAUUCUAUUCACUGAGCUGCCUCCCCAGCCCCUGGUAUCUUUGUGUUCCGCUCCAGCUGGACUCCUCAACAAACAGUUUUUCCAGGGUCUCCUAAAGAUGCCAGUGCCCCCAGACAACAGAAAGCAGUCUAGAGAACACAACACCCACAUUCCCAAGAGAUGGAGCAUACAGGAUGCUGGAAAGAAGAAGUGUGGAGUUGCUAGCCAGACAGACAAGGAGCAAGACGUGCAGGAGGACAGGUUCAGGUUGGAGUUGCCUGAAACUUCACUCUUAUCUGCUGGUGAUGGUGGUCGUUGGUGUGGACCUCAGGCAGCUGGAGAUCUUUGCCAGGACACCCACUGUGAAAAUUAGUGUUAACUGUCAACUUGAUAGACUCGAGAAUUACUUCUGGAACCGCCUCCGAGGAAUUAUCCUGAUUGUGUUCAUUGAUGUGAGGAGACCCACCCACUGUGGGCAGCACCAUUCCCUGGCUGGGAUCCCAGCCUACACAGGUGGAGAAAGAGGGCUGAGCAGCAGCAAGCACUCGGUGCUCCCUGCUUCUGACGGUACCACUCUGUUUCAGGUCCUGCUGCCUUAACUCUUCAGUCGUGAUGGACUGUAACCCAGAUCUGUUAGUCAAAAUAAACCCUUUCUCCCUUAA
This is a long non-coding RNA of Peromyscus eremicus (cactus mouse), 763 nucleotides long. RefSeq lists it as uncharacterized. The record is from RefSeq and is a predicted model, not a curated record. The transcript is spliced from 4 exons. NCBI's taxonomy places the organism in Eukaryota, Metazoa, Chordata, Mammalia, Rodentia, Cricetidae.